Molecule: long non-coding RNA, 1057 nt
Filed under: Salvia miltiorrhiza (redroot sage)
Lineage: Eukaryota; Viridiplantae; Streptophyta; Magnoliopsida; Lamiales; Lamiaceae
Description: long non-coding RNA (SMIL_LNC008620)
Source: RNAcentral
CAUGAGUGCUGAUGCUACUCACAAAGCUAUCAACUGUAGAUCUUGAAGUAACACAGCAGCCAAUAAACCUUAAACUGAUGCAGCAUCCACUCUCCUUCACUGCAUCUUCACCAUCAUCUAUUUUCUUCUUCCUCCCCUUGGAUUUCAACCACCAAGCAAUCUGACAAAAUCAAUUCAAACACUAAAAUUUAGCAAAAAGUCGAAAGACUACAUCUCUAUCACCAAAUAGAAUGCAGAAUCAAGAGAUAGAUGACUGUAACAAUAAAAAAUAAGACAAAAAUUGUUAGAAAUUUAAAUACACUGUUUAUGCAGAACAAGCAGAAGACUAACUACAGAAAGUUCUUAACCAGUGUCGGCAGCUCAGUGCAUAGAACAAGGCAUGAAGCAUAAUUAAUCAAUCCACCCCAAACGACUAAAAGUUCAAGUAGAAAAUAGAUCAAGUAGGACAUAGAAAAUAUAACAAGCCAAGUGGAGAAGGAAAAGUGACUAAAAGUUUAACUUCAUCCUAAUAAGAGAACAUAGUUCAAGUAGGACACAUCUAACCUGUGACUGCACUUUCUUUCUCAACUCAGCGAUUUCUCGGCGUGCUCCAGCGACAUUUCCGGCGAGCUUCAGCGCCUCGCGAAUCUCCCUGAUCCCGCUCUCAAUGGGGGCACAAGCUCCGACCACGAACCCGAGACUUGUUCCGGUUUUCUACAGAGAGAAACGUUUUCUACGGAAAUUAUCGAGAGCAAUAUAUCUGAAAGAAGAGAGAGCAAGAGCAAGGAAACUAACGGUUGGAAUCAAAGGCUUCGGGAGUUUCAACCACACUCAGAGCUCCGGCAACGAUGACGGCGAGGUGAGGCGACGAUAGCUCUGAAAAAUGAAAAUAUACAAAUCUUGAGAGAGAGAGAGAGAACCGCUCGAUCGGGAUGAAGUCGAGGGAGGGAGAGGCGAGCGGCGUAGAUCGACUCCGGCAGGGCGAGCGGCGGCAGCGGAAUUUAGGAAUUUAGGGCAAUUGAAUUUGGGGAAAUUAUGGGGAAGAGAUAGUAUUAUUUAGUAAUUAUUAAUAUUCUUG